Molecule: transfer RNA, 63 nt
Filed under: Heterocephalus glaber (naked mole-rat)
Lineage: Eukaryota; Metazoa; Chordata; Mammalia; Rodentia; Bathyergidae
Rfam family: tRNA
About the family: Transfer RNA (tRNA) molecules are approximately 80 nucleotides in length. Their secondary structure includes four short double-helical elements and three loops (D, anti-codon, and T loops).
Source: Rfam by way of RNAcentral
GUGUAGCUCAGUGGUACAGCACUUGCCUAGUAUGCACAAAGCCCUGGGUUCAAUCCCUAGCAC